CCUACCUGUUCCUCAAAGCUCAACACUCUGCUCACGAACUGCACGUCUAAUUAACAACAAUGUUGAUGUUUUUCAUUAUUCCUAUACGUUGUAAUACAGUCAUACUAUUUAUGAUACUCACCUUUCUACUCUAUUUGUAUAUUCAAAGCAUUUGCAACCAUUUGCUGCUUAUGUACCACUUCCAGAAGCAGUGGAAGGUAAGGGGGAAUGUCAACCCUGCCUCCCAGAUGGACCCAUCAAUACAGAGAGAACAACAAGGAUUAUCAGCAGCACCCUCAGCAUUUGAGUGUCCACGAUCAAGUCUUUUGUUCUGAACAAUCCAGAAAUAGGCCUCAAUUUACCAUUCCCUUCAACUAAAGGAUAUCUGAAAGCAAAAUGCUCCAGCCCUCCAGUCAUUUCUGUGUCUCUCCUUUGGGCCUGCUCUAACAGCUGUGUGUCUCCUGAGGCACAUCACUCAUCACAGAUCUCCUCCUGAACACUGAGCCAUUGACUGCAACUCCCUGUAUGCAGACAUCCAGUCCAUUUCUUUUCCACAAAACAGUCCAUUCAAAACCACGUCUCCAGUGCAGAGACAAGGACAUGAUGUGGGCCAUGCCUAAAGCCUUACAGAAGUUCAGGAAAAUGACAUGAAUUACUGCUCCCCAUUUUGGAGAGAGAACUCUGCAUGCUUCCAACUCCAGCCAUUCUAUGAUUCUAGCCCAAUUUUCCUGCUUCCAAAGACUGCAGAGGAGUUUUAUUCCUCCCUCAUGGCACCCACAAAAGCAUUGGACUGACAGUUUAGGAUAAGCCUAAGCCAAGCUGAAGCCACCAUCCUCUCAGCUCUCAAGGUCCUAUGGCUCCGAGGUCACACCUUAAUAAAUAGCAGUGCUACUUGGAGAGCUUCUGUUGCUGAAAACAGGACCAGUACGAGGGGACAGGUUACACACUUGGAAGCAUGCAGAGUCCUUCAGGAUUUAUUUGUUCACUCCAGAGAGAACGUGAGUCAUGAGAAACCUUAAGGUGGAGCGCUCGAAACAAGGAGUGUAUAAAUGAUUAGCAAGGGAAGGUCAGCACCAGUCCUUCAAGUCUGAGCAUGUCCCACUGUCAAUGGUGCAUAAAUAAUACCAGCUGGAUGCUUGUGGCUGUAGGAGAAUGGCUAUCACACUUCUAGUCCCUUACACGACUCUGGCUCUCGCUCAGAGAUAUCUGACAAGGCCACUGGCAUCUUUUUCUUUUUUCCUAAGACAAACUUAUAUUACAGAAACACUCUGGGUAACACACAAACACCUGAGUACGCUAUCUCUAGAUCCACUGAUACAAUGCGGUACUGCGUGACACAGCACCUAACUACUGCGUGCAGCUGAAAGCGGAGGGGCUGGUACUUUCAUCACUAACACCUGUAGAUUACGAUGGGGAAUCCUGGCCAGUUUUGUACUUUGUUAUCCAGCUGUGACAAAAUCUCUUAUGGAGAUAAUGAGCACCUUUUCCACUGAGCUUUUCUUCAGAUCGUCUCUACAAAGUUGCUAAUCAAGGGUUGAAGUUGGACAGGUGAGCUGCAACACAGGGACUGGCCAAGCCCUGUGUGGUGCAGAGCAACAGAAACUUCUGUGGAGCAUGAAGGUAUAAAACCAUAUCCCUUUAUCUGGUCUUAUGCUAAAACACACAGGUCAUUUCACAGACAUCUGCAUCAGGCGCACAGCAUCAGGUGAAAAAGUAGUAUUUUUCACCUUAUUUCUAUUCAGAAAUUCAAGAGCACAACCCUACCAUAACCCAGCAGUUAGAAGCAAUGCCAAGGAAAGCUAUUUACAUACAACAGACAACAUGGUCACCAGCCUGUCCUUCCUCAUGGAACUUCUCUUGUGCGUUUUGCUUUCACCCAUAUUCGAAGACCCCUUGAGCCCUACAUGCAAGUAGGCACUUGGCUGAAAGAAAAGGAUGUGACAGAGAGAAAAAGAGACCACAGAGAUGCUAACUGAACCCAGCAGCCUGUGGGGAACGAGGUGGACCCCACAUUGGGAUGAAGACCACCAGGGUAGAGCUCAGCAUGGGCAUGUUUGUGGUUCAGUGGCUCCUGUCCCAGCUGAACAGGACAACUGCAGUGACAAAGUGGCAAUGGCAUGAAGCCAGUACAAAACCUGAAUGCUGACCGGUGCCUCCCCUGCCCUGCUUUGCUCCCAGGCAGAGGAUGGCAGGACAGAGAACGCUCCUGCUCUCCAACUCCUGAAGCAGAGGGCAGGAAGGACGUAGUUCCCAUGUGUUCAGGUAAAGGAGCAUAUUUGGGCUGAGUUUCAUACAUGCAUGCUUCCCAGCCUGAGUGCCAUCUCCCUUACCAACAGUACCUUUGCACCACUGCUUUCUGUCUGGGGUAGUUCACAGCUCCUCUGGUGAUCCUCUGGUGCCGGCGCAGUGUGCAUCGCUGCUGGGUCACUGACCUGGAGAAUUAAAAUGUGAUUUUGAAGUUUAACAAAGCUUAACAUUGACCAGAACUGUACAAAGUUCAGUGAGGUCAAUCUGCUUUUUUUUUUUUCUGUCUACAUACAUCUAUAGCUAUGUGCAACUCAACAUAAUGCACUUGUGGAUGUGGUCCAUUCAUCGCUUUAACUUGAGAAUCUGACAACAUUUUACAAAUACUAACUGUGGAGUAUAGGACCCUUACUGUGAGCCAUUCUUACUCCUCAGGAUAGCUGCAGGGCAGACGUACUUUGUUCUGCACAGAAGAAGAAGUGCUCACAUACAUGCAUUUUGCCUGGAACCGUGUGAUUCUUGUGCUUCUCUGUAGGCGCAGUGAGUGCUGAUAUGGGCACACAGGAGUGAAGGAAUGACAUGCAGUCUGUCUCUGUCUUUUCUUCUUCGGGAGGUGUUACAGAGGGCUGCACUUUUCAAAGCGUUUGCCAGUGAAAUUAAGUCUGCAUCCAUCCUAUGCAACAAAAGAAUGAAACAACACAGUAAAAGCUAAAAACUAAUCACAGGUUUGGCAGUCACUUUAGAUCACAGAAAAAAUGUCUUGAUUCACAUACACUUAAAUGAAUAAAUAACCAUAUUAACUACUUAAGCGGAGCUAUCGUUCUUUGUCAGUGUGAUCCUCAGGCUUAUGCAAAGUGUGUGAAUGCUCUCUAUGCAGCGCAGACAAGCAUUUCAGAGGGAAGAUGCAUUACUCAGGUUUCUUUGCAAUGAACUGUACCGAAAAAGGAUGUUAAGCCUGUAAGCUCAGAAUUGCUUUGCCUUCAUCAUGCAAGCGCAUUGCUGAGACAUGGCUGGCUGAGAGCACAAGCUUAUUCUGAGAAAGCCAUAACAAAAAACAUGUAUUUAUUCCUUUUAAAAGAAAUGAGGAAUAACCCUGAAAGCUGACCAAGCUCUUUCCUUCUGUCCCCUUUGUUAUUUUCCAGUAUCUCUGGGCCUGAGUCAAAACCACAGCUGUCCAUCUAGCUUUCCCACUGACUUCUGUGGGGCUGGGAUGGGGCUUGCGUGUUAUCUGGCCUCAGUGCUGUCCAGAGCUUGUCAUCUUAUAUCGCAGGCUCCCAGAAAGACAGAGCAGCAGACCCCAGACAACACGAGAGUGCAGGUAAAGGUGUAACAAAACUCCAUCUGGACAGACUGAGGCUCUGAGAAACAAAGCCACCAAAAGUGCAGCUCUGUGAGGGAAAUACUGUUGCUGCAAGUGGACGUGAGCAUCACCACAGGUAGGAUGAUGAACCCGAAGGCUCAGCUCCCUGCUGGGACAGUGGAAUAAAUGCACUGCAUGAGUUUUCAAUUCAAAGAGCAAUAAACCCUUUUCCAGUCAGCCCCACCAUACACCUAACUACUUACCCUGCAUAUUGAUAAUUAAUCUGCUAUGUUAUCCUCAUAACCUUCCUGUUUUGGCUGUUUUCUCUUCUGUUUUGUAAACUCAGAUCUGCUAAAUAACGCAAUCAGACUUCUCCUCUCCAGUUGCUGUCAUUUUGUCCUGCAACGCUCAAUGCCACUUAAUAAAGUGACAAGAAAUAACGCACUGACUGCGAUGUAUAUUGCUUGCAUUCGUCUUCAUCGCAACAAUGAGUCAUUAUUCAGAGUAUGUUUAUGUAAUAUCAUAAAUACCAAUCUCUGGUAUUUAUGCAGCAUAGUAUUUACUUGGGCAAGUUGCCACAUGCACUAAAGAAGUAAACAAAGAGCCAUUCUUUGGAGGGUUAAAAAAGUCUUAAAAUGAAUCCAAUUUUCCUUCAUAAGGCACUCCUUGUUAUUUUACCUAAAGUGGCUCUUUAAGAUAUACAGUAUGAUAAAACACACAAUUCCUGGGAGACGUAAUUAUGGUUCCUAAGAGACUGGUGAAUAAACAAUCAGGAAAAGAGUGUUUGUUUUCCCUAGGUUUUUCUUAACUAUUAAUGGAAGGCAUUAAAAAAAUGGGGAGGAAUGUGUCGGGUCGAUAAACGGUAAGAAAAGCUGAGGAGCACACUUCACUGAACACACAGGGUUUCUGCCUUAAAAGCAGUACCAUUUUAUUGGAUUGCAAAUAAUCCUAUUUUGCAAAUGUGUUUGCGGUGGGUGUAAAUACCACAGUGCGCUCUUUGUUAUAUUUACUGUACUGCGCACAUCAAUGGCACAGCGCGUGUUCCAAAGUAAAGAGCUCGCCUCGUCUCACGUUACCUUUAAGCAUUAACACAAACAACUUCCUUCGAAUCAAGGUGACAGAACCUUCUGCAUCGUACGAAAUGUUCUAUCUGACACAAAUUCCUCAGGGCGGCGGGGGCCCCGUCUGGCACGGUGCUGAGCCAUGGCAACGACUUCUCUAGCAAAUCAGGGACUGCAGUCAGCCCAACACGGACACGGACACUGGAAACAUGGAAGAUGGCUGAAGCAGAAUCAGCAGGUCAAGAAAACCUUCUUGCAACCGACAUAUAUCAGAACACAGUCAAACAGGACGUUGUUGAGUAACACUGGUCUGCAUGAAGUCACUCGGAGAUCUGUCACUUAAAAACACACGCUCCCAAUGGCACUGCUCACUUCUCUACAUCAGUUCCCUCUCCUGUAAAUCAGACUGAUGGAACCAAGUCAUUCUGUUAGUGAGCGAGUGAUGGGCUACAGAGUGCCCUCACUGAAGCACAGCUUCACACAGCAGGGCCUGGGCAUGCCCAGCUCCUGUCACUGCAGCCUUCUAACCUCGUGUUAGAAAUACCUCAUUCCUUUAGCAGAGACAAAUGGAGACCUCACCUUCCUCCUGUGGCAAAUAGGUGUCAGAGCAAUAGAUCACACUGAUGUAGUUAAUGCUCAUUUACGAUCCAUUUAUUUCCUUAAAAAAAGAAAAAGAAAAAAAAAAAAAAAAAGGACUUGCAAAAGUCACCAAAGAGCCUAUUUUCCUCAAGAAGAUCUGAAGUAAAUGAUGACGCCAUCGGCAGGCUGAAGAGCACACAUGGGCUAUGGGUUAGUGCCUACAUGAUGGGAGAUACUUUGUCUCUUUUUUAUCUAUCCUGCACAUAUAGAUUUGUAAAAAUGGUGACAGAAAAAACAUAUGCACAGGAUGAAUCUGGUCAAGCUAGUACUUGUUCCUGUCUUCAGGAUUUAUUAGAGAAGUGAAUAAACAUACUUGUUGUGGUAAUUAACCCCACGUAAAUCACAAAUCCUGUCUUUAUAUGGUUUUGUUUGUGCUGCUGUCAUUAAGAGCUAUUCAGUGUUCCCAAAGUGGAGGCAGGCCUGAGGUGAAACCUCAGCAAGCAAAGGGAGAAGAUGCACAAAAUGGGGGACAAAGCAGGGAGACCCCUCAUCACUGGGCUGCUUCCUUGAGGCUCCAGCAAUAAAACCCACCAAGCCUGAGCACCUCCGGGCAGUCUCAGUUUGGUAACUACAUCUUUGUCAUCUAAGAAAAAUAGAUUGACCACCAGGCUCUCGACCCCCAGGCCCUGAUUGUCUGAGGCCCAUUUCCCUCACCCACACAGAGCUCAGGAUCUGUCCAGCCCAGUGUGUGGCACAUGUGGGUACUGCAGUACAAACUGUUUGUGCCAGGCUGGGCUGUUAGCUGCUCCUCAGCCUCUCGAUGGCCCCUUCAACAGUCUGCAGAAAUCCUGUCAUUGAUUUCCAUGGGCAUGGGAUCAGGGUUAGACCUCUCAGACCAGAUACCCGCAUGGAUGCACGGUGGCAGUGCUAACUUCCGCCCUCAGGAACAGCCCCUUAUCUCCUCCUUUGCUGCUGGGCCCAUCCUGCCCUGCUCCUUCCAGCAAACACCACUGGUAAAGGAAGCCUCUCUCCAUAAGGAAAUGCCUUCCCUCCUGUAACAAAGCCCUCAAAUUAAUUAGCCGCGGUGUGAUGCCUUCGAAGAAGGUCUGAAGUGACACUGUAAUGCUGUCUGAGUGGAUACUUCAGUCUGGCAAGUCCAUAGACCUCUUGCUGACAUUUGCCAUACAGAGCAUGCAAAUGACCGAGGUUAAGCAAUAGCAAUGAGGAACAAAACAGUUUCUACGCACAAAGUUUUGAUCACUUCGGUAAGGAGUGGUCGAUCAAAGAUGCCUUUCAGUUCAAGACACUUCUUACUGGAGGAAGAUUAUCCAGUGAAUAAUCUGGAGCCGCCCAGCUAGGAGCCUGCUGGAGGAUGAAAAUAUAAUGAGCUCUUCAUAGGUCAGUACUGCUUGUGAGACAGCAAUGCUUUUCCACUCGUGCUAUGAACCCAUCCUGUCUUCAGGCUACACUGGUGAAAAAAUGAUCACCCAACAAAGACAGCACAACACAGCAAAAUUGAAAACACAUUUAGCAAUUUGCAUACCUUGCAUGCCAUAGAACACCCCCAAAUCCUGGUGGAAAUGUGCAUAAUGUGCCAGACAUCUUGAACCCAGGAACUCCCCUCCCCAUAAUCCCCCGGGACCGAAAAGUUUCUGAUUGUACUCCAGCUUCCCCAUAAAAGCUUCAUUGUUACAGCAGCCCAGCCUUUACCAGGAGUCAUGGCAUCGGGCCACAGCCUCCAGGGACACUCUCAAGCUGCACAAAACAAGUUUUUCCAAACAGUUUAAGUAUUUCCCAGCCCAGACUCUCACAUUCUAGUUGUUUGUGCAGGGACAGUAACCCACCAAGCCCUGCCUAAAAUACUGGUUGUUUAAACUCCACAGAGACAUUUUUACUAACAUUCCUUACUGCCGUAACCUCUUGACCACUUUAAACUACUAUUAACGGGCAGACUCCAUAGGCCUAAUGUCAAGGAGUCAUCCCCGCUGAAAAAAAAAAGCAGCAAUUGGACAAUAGAUGCAUGAUUGCUGCUUCCUUAGCACUGCUGCUGCAGCUGGAAAUGUUGUUGUUCAACUGGACUUUGCAGCACAGACACAUACAGCGUCAGCGAGGCAGAGCUCGGUUGCAAUAAGGGUCUGUGAUGAAAGUGGGGACACUGACUGGGUGAAAGCUGGUGGGCGCAGGGAGGUGAUGUGGUUAAGGGGAGCUGUGCCUGCUGGAGCCCUGUGUGUUCCUGCAGGGCUGAGGCUUCGCCCUGGUCAGACCCUUGACAUCCCGUAUCUUCCCCUGUGUUCCUGCUCUAAUCAAGCUUAUCAGGGCACUCGUUUGCUAAAUUAGUACUAAUUAAUGAAAUGCUAAUUAAAAAAAGGUCUGACUGUAAUUCACGGCUUCUGUUUGUCACGGACUCCCAGUACUUUGGAGGCACCAAUGUGUGCCCAGCACGCAGCCAAAGCCAGGCAUAGGUCAGAGCUCCGCUCUAGCCGUGCUGUCCUCAUGGGAGUAAAGCACCACUCUGAGUCACCGCUCAGCCAUGCAGUGUUUGGUGGGUUUUAAUACAGAGCCCUUCAGAAGGUGGCUUUUAGGUGGCUCGCUCUGCAAAGACAACAAAACAAACAGAACUGGAUCUGAAGAGGAAUUUUUGGAGUGCUCAGCACCAGGCCCUGUGUCUGCCAGGAGCCCAGCAGCCCUCAGUGAGCUGCUGCAGGCUAGUGAGUGCCAAGGGACAAAGCCUUUGUACAGGUGUCUGAACACACUGUAUGUCUGAGGAAAUAAAAGGCUUUAAAUGUGUUCAUGAAUUCAGCUAGCGGCGUGGCCAAGGGUCCCCAGUCCAUCAGCACAUUAUCUCUUUGGGCUCUGGGCAGGGGUGAAAGCUGCAUGGACAGACAGCUGCCCUCAUGUCCUCUCCAACGGGGCAGCUUCUGCCAGCAAGCAUGUAGCACAGCGUCACCCAAUACCUUGGUAAGGCCUUUGGCUCAGUUUGGUCUAAUUUGCUAACACAUGCACCAUAAUUACAGGGCUUGUGUUUAGGCAUAUCUCAAGAGUUCCUUGUACAUGUAAUAAGAGAAGCUCAUUCAUCUGGAUCCCAUGAGGGAAGAUGCGCCCUACAUCAUCCAGGGCCAGAGCCCUUCACACAGGUGCCAUUGAAAGCCAUUGGGAAUCAGCUGCAGAUCAAACAUGAUGUUUUGCAAAGUUCUGCUUUUGUUCCUUACAUUUGCUUUCUGGCAGCCUUUAUGGUGCCUGCUGGCAAGGCAGGAGCAGGAACAUAGGCAGGCUCCUCACAGUGCCCUGUGUCGCUCCGGCUUCCCAGUGCAGUCCCUCUUCCCUGCUUGCCCCAGCUGGGGACACCUCGGUGAGUCUGAAGGUACCAAACUGGAGGGUGCUCCUGAACAACAGUCACUGCUCUGCCGGUGGGUGCACAACAGAAAGAAGAUUUGACUGUUUACACAUGGCUCCUUGCCAGCAUAACUACAUUGCUUAGAGCUGCACUGCCUUUCUUUACCUUUAAUAGCUAUGGACCAGCAUAGCUUUCUCUGCAAAAAUCUAAAUGGAGACCAAGUCCAAGUGUGGAAGUUGAUUCUUUGCCUUCUGUAUGCCCAAUGGCAACAUACUGUGUUGUUUAAUGAGCUCCGUCUUGCAUCUUGCAGGGCAUAGGUUGAGCCUCAGAAGUGCUUCUUGGUGUUGUAUCAACCCUUGGCCAGGUAAUGCAACUGGGCAGCUUCUCCUGGCUCUGCCCUCAGCCUGGGGUGAAGCUUUUCUCUCUCUCCAUGGCAGUUCUGCACUGAAGCUGUCCUUGCUCCAGCCUCACCAACACUCACUGCUUUUAAACACUGAUCAUCAGAGCUGUUUUUCAUGCUUUGAGAUGACAACUAAUCAACACAGAUGACGCAACUAGCUGAUAGAAAAAGAUGUUCAUGGCAUUUAUUUGCCCUAGAAAUAUGUCUCACAUUAAUGAAAUAUUCUAAGAGAAAGCCUCUGAGUUUGCACCCUAGACAGGGCUGCACCUGAUGGAGCAGGACAGUGGGGCGGUGUCAUGCAACUACAGCUUAGCAGGCUCUAGGAGUAAGCUAGAGCCUGUGCAAGGCUGUGGGGGCUCAGCACCAGGGGGCUGGGUUUGGAACAAGUGCUGCAAUGGUUCCUUUUGGUAAUACGGUGAAUUCCUGCCUUAAAGUGGAGCUGUGGUAUAGGGGCACAAAGUGAUGGUACAAACUGCAGUGGUUAGUACUUGUUCAAGUUGAAGGGCUGCAGCAUUACCAGGAAGGUCGGUGCCUCUUUCUGGAUGCUUUUGUAGAGUUUCUGACAAUGGCUUAAGACACGGAAUGCAUAAAAUUCUCAAGAGAAAUUUUUAGUUCCCAGAGAACUGAAACAGUUUGAGCUCUUGCACUGAAUUGUUGGCUCUGUCUGCAAACGAAACCAUGCAGCUGCCCAGACCACCAUGUUGCCAUCGGAGGAUGGACAUGGCUGUGAGCGCAGGCCCUGCCAAGGUCCAUCUCCAUGCUCCCACUGACAGAUCCCAGCUACAGCUCUGCACUGGGGGAGCCCUUCCACUGAAGUGAUACAACAGCAGUUGCUAAAGCUACAUUUGGCCUUAUAUCUGACUUUCUUUUUUUCUGCAACCUCUGGCAGGUCUUCAGUGCAUUCAGUUCUUUAUAUUAAAGCAAUCAAUCCCACAUGCAACCAAUUAGGUUUAGACAUAUUUUGGUGACCAUAAUAUUGUACAGACAUUCUAUCAACUUUUCAACAACAGAGGGUGGCUCCUACAUGUCACUUUCUAGUGGGGAGCACGCUGACUGCAGUUCAGAAAUAUCCCAAAGAGAAAAACAUAUUCUAGAAUUAUACUGAGCCCAAAUGUGCCACUUGUAGACAACAUUCUGGCUCUGUGUACAUACAACAGGGACCCAAACACUGUCCCUCCUCAGUGCAGCGCACAGGGCAAGAAUCUCACUAGACCUGAAUGACCAGGUUUGUCAUCCAAUAACCUCAUCGCCUGCCACUGUCAUUGCUUGUGACACAUACCAAAUAUGUUUUGAUUCUCAGAAGCAAAGAGGCAGCAGCAUUCACAAAGCCUUUUAGCUCCAUUUCCUUAGUCUGUGCCCCUAAAGAGGGAUGGGAGCGCAGACAGCACGGGUGGGCAUUUGCCUUCAUCGCCUCUGCACUGAAUGCAGUUUGGUCCUCAUGGCUACUCAGUCCCUGGCUGCUGUGCUGACAUAUCACGCUCUGGCCAUUAUUUAUCAUAUUAUCUGAAACUCCUCCUUAGGAAAUCUUCAGCUGGAGACACAUCUUCCUGCUAUUCAUGGUGGGAAAGGCCUACUGAUCUGCAUUACUGACCUAUACAAGGAUUCUGGAUGUGUACUGACAGUUUACCCUGUCAGACAUAAGGCUCUAAAGGAAUAACUGUAAAGAAUUACUUGGCACAGGUUCCAUAAGGCAGGCUGGACCAAGCCUGAAGUUACCAAUUAAUGCACCAAAGCCAGAAAGAAAUCACAAAGAAAAGCAGCGCAGAAUGAAAAUGCAGGACAUAGCUUCUGCCUGGGCGUGGAUGAAAACUGAAACAGAAUUCUCUUCAGAUAACCCAGGAACAACAAAAAUGUUCCAAAAUUCAGCACAGGCAUUGAAAGCACAUCACCAGUGUCUCCUUUGAGCUCUGGGAUGCAGGCUAUUGACACUGGUAUUUGUCUUCACCAUGGACUUUGCCCCACUAGUGACUGAGAAGGGGCUCAGGUCCUCAUGUGGGUCAUUUCUGUUCAGUGGAAGGAGCCAGUGCUGAUGCCACUGAGCAGCUUGUUUGUUUGCUCCGCUGCCAGGGAGAAGACUUCUGGUGCCGGGGUUUGGUGGCAGCAAGAGCAGCUUCACAUCAACUGUCCCAUGGCUUCAGAGCUCUCCUCAGAAACUGAGUUCUUCUCUCUUCUCUCACACCAGUGGGGACUUUCUGGGCCUCACCACAGCACAAAAACACAACGAGAAGCCCACAUGUGGCCUACUGUAGAUCACGGUCCUGGAGCUAGAGUAUUUGUAGAGCUUUUGCAUUACAGCUGUUGCAGUGCGAGAUGUCUGGAUAGCACAGCAAUAGGAAGGCUAAUGGGCUUCAGAUGGGAAAUCAAUGGAGCAUCUUUCCUUCAAAAAUGUAUUUCUGUCAGAAUCACAACGCUUUGAGGAAUCAUUACCCUUACCCAGAGCAUUUGGAGGAAGAUAUGCCAACAAUUUUUUGGAAUAAAGCAUGUAGAUUUUUGAUUUUACAUAAUAUAUGCAUUUUUAAAAGUUGUAAUAAUCCAAAUAAGCCAAGACUAUUUAUUUUUGUGGAAUUUUCCUUUGUGGAGAAUUUCAACAUUUUGAGGUUUUGUUCUGAAUUGGAAUGAAAACAAAUUUCAAAAUCUCAAAGUUGUCUGUGAAACACAAUUUCCAUUCUCUGGCCAGCUCAAGUUUCAGGCUAGAACAUGUAUAAUAGCUCCCCUGCAGGGAAUCCCUUUAGGAAAAAACGUCUCUGAAUGAAUUCAGUGGUGCAAACGUACCGUUUUCAGGAUCUGCCCAUCUUUGCAAGGAGGUGGCGGUGCCACUGAGAACUUCCCCAAGUAAGUCACUACACAAGAAGCCUGCACACAUUCCUGAAAAACCUAUUUCUGAAAGGCACUGCUAACUCUGCAGAAUUGAUGGGGGCUGUUUCCUGGUAGUGCUGUUAGUCAUUCAGUCACAGUUGUCACGCAGAUCACAGAAUGGACCUCAUGACUAUGUUUUUGCCUUACCUUUGCUGGGCUGUCUUGAACAGCUUUAUAUUACACUUUCAAGGUAGAUGCCGUGCAUUCAGAUUAAAAUAUUCAAUAGAACAGGCUUUAUGUCUUAGGAUAUCUGAAUGGAUGUAAGUAUUUAUAGCCCUAGCAAACACUCCUGCCCCAAAAUAAAAUAAAAACUCACACAUUACAAACAUUCAGGCUUGCACCUGCACGUGGAAAGAUCAAAAAACCGCAUUAGGAGAAAUGAAUUAUUAGAGACUUUGAUGGAGAUCCACUCCACAUGCUAUUGUCAGGAGAGUUACUUUGGAUUUAACAAAAUAAAUGAGAUUUAUAUUCAUAAAUGACAUAAAUGAGAUUUUAGGCCAGUCUGUUCACAGCAGCUUUAUCUGUCACGAAAGUAUGAAGAAGUUUAAUACUUAUAUGAAUUAACGCAGUAAAGUUAAUCAUGCACUCUAUUAAAAACUAAUCCUGCAUGCCAUGUUUGUGUUUGCUGCCUUACUCUAGCCAUGUUUUUCUGCAAGGGAGUUCGUGCUUGCUGUUCU
Long non-coding RNA from Gallus gallus (chicken), 12430 nucleotides. The record is from Ensembl. Lineage: Eukaryota; Metazoa; Chordata; Aves; Galliformes; Phasianidae.